Molecule: small RNA, 28 nt
Filed under: Bombyx mori (domestic silkworm)
Lineage: Eukaryota; Metazoa; Arthropoda; Insecta; Lepidoptera; Bombycidae
Description: piRNA piR-bmo-1782045
Source: RNAcentral
UAAUCGUUUCGUGUUCUUCGUGCCUCGU